This 536-nucleotide ribosomal RNA is filed under the name uncultured bacterium. RNAcentral's name for it is "partial 16S ribosomal RNA". It matches the Rfam family "Bacterial small subunit ribosomal RNA", at positions 355 to 902 of the family's 1533-position model. The record is from RNAcentral.
UGGGGAAUAUUGCACAAUGGGCGGAAGCCUGAUGCAGCAACGCCGCGUGAGUGAUGAAGGCCUUCGGGUUGUAAAGCUCUGUCUUUUGGGACGAUAAUGACGGUACCAAAGGAGGAAGCCACGGCUAACUACGUGCCAGCAGCCGCGGUAAUACGUAGGUGGCAAGCGUUGUCCGGAUUUACUGGGCGUAAAGGAUGCGUAGGCGGAUUUUUAAGUGAGAUGUGAAAUACCCGGGCUUAACUUGGGUGCUGCAUUUCAAACUGGGAAUCUAGAGUGCGGGAGAGGAGAAUGGAAUUCCUAGUGUAGCGGUGAAAAUGCGUAGAGAUUAGGAAGAACACCAGUGGCGAAGGCGAUUCUCUGGACCGUAACUGACGCUGAGGCAUGAAAAGCGUGGGUAGCAAAACAGGAUUAGAUACCCUGGUAGUCCACGCCGUAAACGAUGAGUACUAGGUGUAGGAGGUAUCGACCCCUUCUGUGCCGCAGUUAACACAAAUAAGUACUCCGCCUGGGAAGUACGAUCGCAAGAUUAAAAACUU